RNAcentral lists this ribosomal RNA (1396 nucleotides) under Salmonella enterica subsp. enterica serovar Infantis. RNAcentral's name for it is "bacterial SSU rRNA". Lineage: Bacteria; Pseudomonadati; Pseudomonadota; Gammaproteobacteria; Enterobacterales; Enterobacteriaceae. The record is from RNAcentral.
AAAUUGAAGAGUUUGAUCAUGGCUCAGAUUGAACGCUGGCGGCAGGCCUAACACAUGCAAGUCGAACGGUAACAGGAAGCAGCUUGCUGCUUYGCUGACGAGUGGCGGACGGGUGAGUAAUGUCUGGGAAACUGCCUGAUGGAGGGGGAUAACUACUGGAAACGGUGGCUAAUACCGCAUAACGUCGCAAGACCAAAGAGGGGGACCUUCGGGCCUCUUGCCAUCAGAUGUGCCCAGAUGGGAUUAGCUWGUUGGUGAGGUAACGGCUCACCAAGGCGACGAUCCCUAGCUGGUCUGAGAGGAUGACCAGCCACACUGGAACUGAGACACGGUCCAGACUCCUACACCGGCUAACUCCGUGCCAGCAGCCGCGGUAAUACGGAGGGUGCAAGCGUUAAUCGGAAUUACUGGGCGUAAAGCGCACGCAGGCGGUCUGUCAAGUCGGAUGUGAAAUCCCCGGGCUCAACCUGGGAACUGCAUUCGAAACUGGCAGGCUUGAGUCUUGUAGAGGGGGGUAGAAUUCCAGGUGUAGCGGUGAAAUGCGUAGAGAUCUGGAGGAAUACCGGUGGCGAAGGCGGCCCCCUGGACAAAGACUGACGCUCAGGUGCGAAAGCGUGGGGAGCAAACAGGAUUAGAUACCCUGGUAGUCCACGCCGUAAACGAUGUCUACUUGGAGGUUGUGCCCUUGAGGCGUGGCUUCCGGAGCUAACGCGUUAAGUAGACCGCCUGGGGAGUACGGCCGCAAGGUUAAAACUCAAAUGAAUUGACGGGGGCCCGCACAAGCGGUGGAGCAUGUGGUUUAAUUCGAUGCAACGCGAAGAACCUUACCUGGUCUUGACAUCCACAGAAGAAUCCAGAGAUGGAUUUGUGCCUUCGGGAACUGUGAGACAGGUGCUGCAUGGCUGUCGUCAGCUCGUGUUGUGAAAUGUUGGGUUAAGUCCCGCAACGAGCGCAACCCUUAUCCUUUGUUGCCAGCGGUCCGGCCGGGAACUCAAAGGAGACUGCCAGUGAUAAACUGGAGGAAGGUGGGGAUGACGUCAAGUCAUCAUGGCCCUUACGACCAGGGCUACACACGUGCUACAAUGGCGCAUACAAAGAGAAGCGACCUCGCGAGAGCAAGCGGACCUCAUAAAGUGCGUCGUAGUCCGGAUUGGAGUCUGCAACUCGACUCCAUGAAGUCGGAAUCGCUAGUAAUCGUGGAUCAGAAUGCCACGGUGAAUACGUUCCCGGGCCUUGUACACACCGCCCGUCACACCAUGGGAGUGGGUUGCAAAAGAAGUAGGUAGCUUAACCUUCGGGAGGGCGCUUACCACUUUGUGAUUCAUGACUGGGGUGAAGUCGUAACAAGGUAACCGUAGGGGAACCUGCGGUUGGAUCACCUCCUUACCUUAAAGAA